GACGAACGCUGGCGGCGCGCUUAACACAUGCAAGUCGAACGGAAAGGCCUGCUUUCCCUUGUGGAUUGCGGGUACUCGAGUGGCGAACGGGUGAGUAACACGUGAGUGAUCUGCCCCCAACUUGGGUAUAAGCCUGGGAAACUGGGUCUAAUUCCCGAUAGGACUGCAGGGUGGUGCCUGUGGUGGAAAACGAUUUUCUAGUGGUUGGGGAUGAGCUCGCGGCCUAUCAGCUUGUUGGUGGGGUAAUGGCCUACCAAGGCGGCGACGGGUAGCCGGCCUGAGAGGGUGGACGGCCCCAUUGGGACUGAGAUACGGCCCAGACUCCUACGGGAGGCAGCAGUGGGGAAUAUUGCACCAUGGGCGGAAGCCUGAUGCAGCGACGCCGCGUGGGGGAUGACGGCCUUCGGGUUGUAAACUCCUUUCGACCGCGAGGAAGCCACCUGGUUGGAAGGGUGGUGACGGUAGUGGUAGAAGAAGCACCGGCUAACUACGUG
Molecule: ribosomal RNA, 494 nt
Filed under: uncultured bacterium
Lineage: Bacteria
Description: partial 16S ribosomal RNA
Rfam family: Bacterial small subunit ribosomal RNA
Source: RNAcentral